CUUGCCGCAGCGUACACAUGCAAGUCGAGCGGAAACGAUGGAGCUUGCUCCAGGCGUCGAGCGGCGGACGGGUGAGUAAUGCAUAGGAAUCUGCCCGGUAGUGGGGGAUAACCUGGGGAAACCCAGGCUAAUACCGCAUACGUCCUACGGGAGAAAGCAGGGGAUCUUCGGACCUUGCGCUAUCGGAUGAGCCUAUGUCGGAUUAGCUUGUUGGUGAGGUAAUGGCUCACCAAGGCGACGAUCCGUAGCUGGUCUGAGAGGAUGAUCAGCCACAUCGGGACUGAGACACGGCCCGAACUCCUACGGGAGGCAGCAGUGGGGAAUAUUGGACAAUGGGCGAAAGCCUGAUCCAGCCAUGCCGCGUGUGUGAAGAAGGCUUUCGGGUUGUAAAGCACUUUCAGUGAGGAAGAAGGCCUUGGGGCUAAUACCCCCGAGGAAGGACAUCACUCACAGAAGAAGCACCGGCUAACUCCGUGCCAGCAGCCGCGGUAAUACGGAGGGUGCGAGCGUUAAUCGGAAUUACUGGGCGUAAAGCGCGCGUAGGCGGCGUGAUAAGCCGGUUGUGAAAGCCCCGGGCUCAACCUGGGAACGGCAUCCGGA
Molecule: ribosomal RNA, 600 nt
Filed under: Halomonas ventosae
Lineage: Bacteria; Pseudomonadati; Pseudomonadota; Gammaproteobacteria; Oceanospirillales; Halomonadaceae
Description: bacterial SSU rRNA
Rfam family: Bacterial small subunit ribosomal RNA
Source: RNAcentral